Molecule: long non-coding RNA, 567 nt
Filed under: Homo sapiens (human)
Lineage: Eukaryota; Metazoa; Chordata; Mammalia; Primates; Hominidae
Description: HSALNT0018540
Source: RNAcentral
GGAGGAUGAAUGAGCAGUCAUUCAUCUAGUUUCAGGAAACUAGAAGGUGUUGGCUCUAGUAUUUAUUUCCUCUGCCUGGAUGGCACUUCAGGAUAAGGUGAAAGGAAGAGUGUCCUCUGCCCCUUGGGUGACUGGCACAAUGAUAAACACAGAUUCAUCUGGCCCUGACCUGGGAAUUGUGAAGAAGAAAACACUUUCUUAGGGAGACUGUACAAGGAGGACUUCCCCCACUUUUGUCAGGUCUGGUGGCAUUUGCCCUGGACUGGUCCCUGUCUCAGGGAAUACAGGCCACAGUCGCCCUAGGGUUAGCUGGGCAUGGAGCGGCCCUGGAAGAAAAGAAGAUAUGAAAAGAGGAAGGAAUGAGCUCACCUUGCCUGCAACUGUCUCUCAGGGGAGAGAGUUUAAGGAGACUCAAAGAAGAGGAGGAGAGUCCAGGAACUGAGAGCUGCCGUAUAUGUACAGCGUUGCGUCCAUGUAGACCUGAGACCCCCUGGCUAUGUGUCUCAGGAUGUGUCCUUCAGUUCUGCCUCCUGAGCCUCAAGGGCAUGCCAUCUUUCUCAGGCUGUG